AAGGUGGGAGACUUUUAUCAGGUUUAGAAUAUCUAUGAAGCAAAAAAAAUGCGCAAAGUCAGAGAUAUUUGCGCAGCUUUUCAUAAGGAAGACUUCGGAGAACUAAAGACAUUUGCCAGUUUUUCAUAAAAAGACUUCGGAGAGCUGGGAAAAUAACUACGCUUUAGCUGUAUAAUCUGAAUUAUAGUAAGAUUAGCCACGUCCCUAUCAGAUAGGGAAGCUGGAUUCUCCUUGAAAGCCUUGGUUUGUGGCGGUCAGUACAGGGGAACCGUAAAAAUAGACCUAGAUUUCCAUGAGCUUCGGGUGGAUUUCGAAAUUAAGAAGAUAAGUGUUGAGUGGUUGUUCCUGACCUAGCUCAACAACGAAAAUCCAAUCAGGAAAUAAACGUGUAGAAAGCUCUUUAAUUGCUUGUUUGGACCCGGGUUCGAUUCCCGGC
Molecule: transfer-messenger RNA, 436 nt
Filed under: Flavobacterium hydrophilum
Lineage: Bacteria; Pseudomonadati; Bacteroidota; Flavobacteriia; Flavobacteriales; Flavobacteriaceae
Description: Flavobacterium sp. IMCC34758 transfer-messenger RNA
Rfam family: transfer-messenger RNA (bases 176-436)
About the family: Bacterial tmRNA, also known as 10Sa RNA or SsrA, is named for its dual tRNA and mRNA-like properties. Its role is to liberate the mRNA from a stalled ribosome. To accomplish this part of the tmRNA is used as a reading frame that ends in a translation stop signal.
Source: RNAcentral